GAUCAUGGCUCAGGAUGAACGCUGGCGGCGUGCUUAACACAUGCAAGUCGAACGAAACACCUUAUUUGAUUUUCUUCGGAACUGAAGAUUUGGUGAUUGAGUGGCGGACGGGUGAGUAACGCGUGGGUAACCUACCCUGUACAGGGGGGAUAACAGUCAGAAAUGACUGCUAAUACCGCAUAAGACCACAGCACCGCNGUGGUGCGGAAAGGGUAAAACCGUCGGUGUACGAGAGUACGGACCCGUCGUCUAGUAAUUACGG
RNAcentral lists this ribosomal RNA (262 nucleotides) under uncultured bacterium. RNAcentral describes it as "partial 16S ribosomal RNA". It matches the Rfam family "Bacterial small subunit ribosomal RNA", at positions 15 to 249 of the family's 1533-position model. The record is from RNAcentral.